GAGGAAUGGAGCAGGAUAGAGAGAGAUAGUGAGUCAGCGAGCUUCAUCUAGGGAUCAACAGUAACUGAUCAAGUCAGUGUUGGAGGAAGGAGAACAGAUUGAUUUGUGGGCUUUCAUUUAGUUUGUCCAGAUUCUUCUGUUCAUUAACAGCGGCUGUGAAGACAAGACAGAGAGAAAAAUAGGAAGGGGAAGAUAAGUGUCAAUCUGUUCAGACUUGUUUGGGAAUUUGAGCAAGGAAGGAGGGAGGAGGAGGAGGAGGGGUGAAACAGCAAGAGAGAGAGAGAAGAGCAGAGGGGAGAGGUUGACAGACAGAUUGAGAAGAAAACAGAUGCUGAGAGAGACAGAGUGUCAGGAUUGGAUUAAAGUUUAAAUAGAACUCCCCCCAUCAGAUCUGGAGAGGAAGGAUAGCUUGUGUUGUGCAAUCCUUGUUAGUUCACACUACUAAACUAACUGAGAGCUGCAGAGAGAAGGGAGACUGGACAUCUCUAGCGUACUAAACUCAGAUGAUGAGGAGGUGAGCGUCAACUGGGGAGACGUGGACCUGAGGAAUGUCAUGGAUACCAUCAGAAUGGAUAGGAGGAACUCCAAAUUUUACAAUUCCCAGCUCUACCAGCAGUACAGUGAGACGGCUCAGAACAGG
This is a long non-coding RNA of Oncorhynchus keta (chum salmon), 640 nucleotides long. RefSeq lists it as uncharacterized. The transcript is spliced from 4 exons. Lineage: Eukaryota; Metazoa; Chordata; Actinopteri; Salmoniformes; Salmonidae. The record is from RefSeq and is a predicted model, not a curated record.